UACGUAGGGGGCAAGCGUUGUCCGGAUUUAUUGGGCGUAAAGCGCUCGCAGGUGGUCCGUUGCGUCGUGCGUGAAAGCCCCCGGCUCAACUGGGGAGGGUCACGCGAUACUGAUCGACUCGAAGGCAGGAGAGGGUAGUGGAAUUCCCGGUGUAGUGGUGAAAUGCGUAGAUAUCGGGAGGAACACCGGUGGCGAAGGCGGCUCUCUGGACGGUGACUGACGCUGAGACGCGAAAGCGUGGGGAGCAAACAGG
RNAcentral lists this ribosomal RNA (253 nucleotides) under uncultured bacterium. Its description in RNAcentral is "partial 16S ribosomal RNA". It matches the Rfam family "Bacterial small subunit ribosomal RNA", at positions 524 to 776 of the family's 1533-position model. The record is from RNAcentral.